Molecule: long non-coding RNA, 338 nt
Filed under: Ananas comosus (pineapple)
Lineage: Eukaryota; Viridiplantae; Streptophyta; Magnoliopsida; Poales; Bromeliaceae
Description: long non-coding RNA (ACOM_LNC043865)
Source: RNAcentral
ACUUUCUAUGUGAAGCUUAUGUUACAUCUAAUUUUAAUUACUAUAAUUGUCCAAACCAUAUACAUGAAAGUUAUGAUUAUCAAAGUGUGAUCAUGUUAUAUGUAUUUUAAUCGUAUACUUCUUCAUUUUUUUUGGAGUUCAUCAUAGUGUUGGAAUUUUCGUAUCUCAUAACUAUUUGCCCCAAUCCCAAGAAAUAAUUGAUAUUUACUUUUUAAAGGUAUGUUAGAUAUUUAUAUUAAAUUUUUUGGUUGAUUUUUUUAAAUUAUUCAUAAUAAUAAUCACUUUUAAGUUUAAAGGAAUCAUAAUAUGAAUACAUGCAUGAAAGGCUCCAAAAGGUU